This 1528-nucleotide ribosomal RNA is filed under the name metagenome. Its description in RNAcentral is "bacterial SSU rRNA". It matches the Rfam family "Bacterial small subunit ribosomal RNA". The record is from RNAcentral.
AGAGUUUGAUCCUGGCUCAGAGUGAACGCUGGCGGCGUGGAUUAGGCAUGCAAGUCGAGCGAUCCUUGCUGAUUCAAUGAAUGCUUGCAUUUAAAGAAGAAGCGCGGGAUAGCGGCAAACGGGUGAGUAACGCGUAAGUAAUCUUCCUCAAAGACGGGGAUGGCAUCGCGAAAACGGUGGUAAUACCCGAUGUGGACAUAGAAUCUUAUGAUUCCUGUUUAAAGGUGGGGACCUUCGGGCCUGCCACUUUGAGAUGAGCUUGCGUCCUAUCAGCUUGUUGGUGAGGUAAUGGCUCACCAAGGCAUAUGACGGGUAGUUGGUCUGAGAGGAUGAUCAGCCACACUGGGACUGAGACACUGCCCAGACUCCUACGGGAGGCUGCAGUCGAGAAUCUUUCACAAUGGACGAAAGUCUGAUGAUGCGACGCCGCGUGCAGGAUGAAGGCCUUCGGGUUGUAAACUGCUUUUGUUAGGAAAGAAACUUGUUUGGUUAAUAGCCAUACAGCUGACGGUACCUGACGAAUAAGCCACGGCCAAAUACGUGCCAGCAGCCGCGGUAAUACGUAUGUGGCAAGCGUUACUCGGAAUUAUUGGGUGUAAAGGGCAAGUAGGCGGUCUAAUAAGCGAGGGGUGAAAUCUACCGACUCAAUCGGUAAACUGCCUUUCGAACUGUUAGACUUGAGGCUGAGAGAGGGAAAUGGAAUUAGCAGUGUAAGGGUGAAAUCUGUAGAUAUUGCUAAGAACACCAGCGGCGAAGGCGAUUUCCUGGCUCAGAUCUGACGCUGAAUUGCGAAAGUUAGGGGAGCAAACAGAAUUAGAUACUCUGGUAGUCCUAACUGUAAACGAUGAGUACUAGGUGUUGGACCUUCGGGUUCAGUGCCGCAGCUAACGCAUUAAGUACUCCACCUGGGGACUACGGCCGCAAGGCUAAAACUCAAGGAAUUGACGGGGACCCGCACAAGCGGUGGAACAUGUGGUUUAAUUCGAUGCUACGCGAAGAACCUCACCAGGGCUUGACAUAUACGCAGUAGUGAACCGAAAGGGGAACGAACCGUUAAGUCCGGUAACGUAUACAGGUGCUGCAUGGCUGUCGUCAGCUCGUGUCGUGAGAUGUUGGGUUAAGUCCCGCAACGAGCGCAACCAUUGCCCUAUGUUGCCACUCUAUCCUUCGGGGUAGAAGCACUCUUAGGGGACUGCCUGGGAUAACCAGGAGGAAGGUGGAGAUGACGUCAAGUCAGUACGGCCUUUAUGCCCUGGGCUACACACGUGUUACAAUGGCAGGUACAAAGGGUUGCCAACCCGCGAGGGGGAGCUAAUCUCAAAAAACCUGCCCCAGUUCGGAUAGGAGUCUGCAACUCGACUCCUUGAAGCCGGAAUCGCUAGUAAUGGAAGAUCAGCUCGCUUCCGUGAAUACGUUCCCGGGUCUUGUACACACCGCCCGUCAAGCGAUGGAAGCCGGGGGUACCCGAAGUCCUAUGUAGAUAGGCCGAAGGUAAAACUGGUGACCGGCGCUAAGUCGUAACAAGGUA